RNAcentral lists this ribosomal RNA (255 nucleotides) under uncultured eukaryote. RNAcentral describes it as "partial small subunit ribosomal RNA". The record is from RNAcentral.
UACUCUCAUUCGUGUGGGUGUUUUUCCAGAAGGUUGGCCGAAAACAGAAGAUCAGAGUGCUGACUUGGUCGUCCCUACGCCCGAGCCUGGUACCCCAUUGGUUUUACGGACUACCGAGACUGAUAUUUUCAGUGGUCCAGGUACUGAAUAUGGAAUCAUCGGGCAGUUAAAAGAAAACCAAUCCGCUCAGGUCGCUGGCAUCAGUCCUGAUCGUCUUUGGUGGGGGAUCGUUGUACAUUCUUAUGAUAAUGGUCU